GUGAAUUCAUACAUUAAAUGUCCACUUCUCCCUAUGUCGAGAACAACACUUUAAAUGUCGAGAAAUGUACAGAACUCUAGGAAAUGGAAUGAAAUCUCGUUCUAGAUACAUGAACUGCCAAGUAUCAAGAUAAACAAGGUCUACGAUAACUACUUUCCAAAUGACGAAAACAUCAUGAAAUGUCAAGAACAAAUUAGAACUAUUCAUUGGAAUUGCAAAAUGACAAUGAGAUUUAUAAAAUAAAAAAUAAAAAAAAAAGUUUACAACAAAAUCGAUUAAACAUAGAAGUUUCCCCAAUACGAUUUUAAUGAAAGGUGUGCUAUAAAUCCUUGCUCGUAAUAAAUUUAACUUCACUAUUCAUAUGACAAGCACAUGGUCUACAACCUAUGUUGUCCAACAAAUGUCAAUCAAUUGUAAAUACAUGGAGUGAGAGUUGGUGUGUAGUUAUGUAAUACAAUUACACCUCAUUAACCAUGCUUUACACAUCUAUAUAAGGAUGUAUAUGAGUUGAAAGACAAUGUUCAGACACAAUUAUUCAUAAGAAAUUUCUAGCAGGAAGAGCUUCUUUUGACUUGUCUUCUUCAAUCGCAGAAACACCUCAUAUUGAUAUUGCUGUCCCGAAUCUUCGACGGACAUUACAAUCAUAAUCUACUCGGACAAUAAUGAACAAAUGCAUGCCGUUGUUUCCUACAUUCCUCAAUCUAGGAGCUGUCACUGUUGGAUGAGUGUUCAUCCAAUUCUAUUUUCCUAAUCUGGGAAACGAAUGGGAGCCUAGUGACACACAGUUGGUGAUCAUAAUACCAACAAUGAGAUCAUCCCGAUAAAAAUUCCACCGAAUGAACACCAUCUUUUGUUUGGCAUCCAAUACAUCAACGAGUUGGUCGACAAUGUUGGACUGGGCUCGGAUGUCAUGGGAAUUGCCGUACCAUAAGCACUGAUGACGAUAAUGGUAGUGCGAUAUCUUCUCAGUCCGUUGUUAAGGACAUGCUGAUAUCUUUGUAUAUCGUAAUUUUGUGACCACUUCAAAUAAGAAUCUCAUUGUCAUUGUCAUUAUUUAUGUUAACAAGUUUAAUAUUUUGCAAUGGAUAAGCA
RNAcentral lists this long non-coding RNA (1092 nucleotides) under Olea europaea subsp. europaea. The record is from RNAcentral. Lineage: Eukaryota; Viridiplantae; Streptophyta; Magnoliopsida; Lamiales; Oleaceae.